This 907-nucleotide long non-coding RNA is filed under the name Manihot esculenta (cassava). RNAcentral's name for it is "long non-coding RNA (MESC_LNC003526)". The record is from RNAcentral. Lineage: Eukaryota; Viridiplantae; Streptophyta; Magnoliopsida; Malpighiales; Euphorbiaceae.
UUGCACUGUUCAUCUACAUAGGUAGACCUCUCAGAUGUAAGCCUUUCUGACAUCUCAUCAACCUCUUCCUUCAAACCAAGAAGCAGUUGCCUCUGGCAGUCCAUGGCUGCCUUCCCCUUCAAAUGAUCAGCCAAAGCUUUCUCCUCAACACUUUUCUCAAAUUCCAAAUCACGUAAUGCAGCAAUAUAAAGAUUUUGAAUCUCCAGUCCACGGGCUCUUUCUUCUUUCAUCUUCUCAUCCCAAAACCUCUCUAUAUCUCCUUUGUCAAGCACCUCAGACCUUAUUUCCUUCAUUGCAACUUGUCUUGAAGAAUUCUCGGCUUCCAAUCUUAAUAUUUCAUUAUUAACUGUUUCCGUCAUCCUGCCACUUGUCAAUGCCACUGCUGCUUGAGCUUUUGUCAAAGGUUUAUUGGGUUGAAACCGCCUGCUCUGUCCUGUAGAAAUUGAACAUGAAAGCACAAUCUUCAUGGACUUACUGGCAUGAAAACAAAAUUGCUCUGAAAUUGCACUACUCCAUCUUUUAAGAGAAUACCACAAGUCUAUAAGUUUUAAAGAAUGAUAAAAUGAAUAUCCAUCCAUGUGCACUAAACAAUCCACAGGUUGAUUCAUCUGCAAUCUAACGGAUUUGCUAGUACGGUGAAGAUAUUAAAACUUCUUAAUCAUGAUCCUUGUUAAUCGUUUUACAGGUUUACAGUUUUCUGAAGGUACAUCCUCUCCAUUUACUUCAUAUUUCUCAAGAUGCAUGGCGCAAUGAGGUGCAAAGGACUCCUAAAGCCUGUGCACAAAGUGCAAGCACAUGCCAAUAGAGGUCGCACACAAGAAAUAAAUUGAAGCCCAAGCAACCAUAAAAGUAAGGAACUAUCAGGCGACUAUCUUUUACAAGACUAAGUACAUCAAUCUUCUUAUUC